UUGACGGGGAGCACCACAACGGGUGGAGCUUGCGGUUUAAUUGGAUUCAACGCCGGAAAUCUUACCGGGACCGACAGCAAUAUGAAGGCCAGGCUGAAGACUUUGCCGGAUUAGCUGAGAGGUGGUGCAUGGCCGUCGUCAGUUCGUACUGUGAAGCAUCCUGUUAAGUCAGGCAACGAGCGAGACCCACGCCCACAGUUGCCAGCGUACUCUCCGGAGUGACGGGUACACUGUGGGGACCGCCGCUGCUAAAGCGGAGGAAGGAAUGGGCAACGGUAGGUCAGUAUGCCCCGAAUAUCCCGGGCUACACGCGAGCUACAAUGGUUGGUACAAUGGGUAUCUACCCCGAAAGGGGACGGGAAUCUCCUAAAACCAAUCUUAGUUCGGAUUGAGGGCUGCAACUCGCCCUCAUGAAGCUGGAAUCCGUAGUAAUCGCGUUUCAACAGAACGCGGUGAAUACGUCCCUGCUCCUU
RNAcentral lists this ribosomal RNA (473 nucleotides) under uncultured Methanosaeta sp. Its description in RNAcentral is "bacterial SSU rRNA". It matches the Rfam family "Archaeal small subunit ribosomal RNA", at positions 871 to 1337 of the family's 1478-position model. The record is from RNAcentral. Lineage: Archaea; Methanobacteriati; Methanobacteriota; Methanomicrobia; Methanotrichales; Methanotrichaceae.